This 265-nucleotide ribosomal RNA is filed under the name uncultured archaeon. Its description in RNAcentral is "partial 16S ribosomal RNA". It matches the Rfam family "Archaeal small subunit ribosomal RNA", at positions 717 to 982 of the family's 1478-position model. The record is from RNAcentral.
ACACGACUACAUUAGAUACCCCUGUAGUCCUAGCCGUAAACGAUACUCGCUAGGUGUCGGCCACGGUGCGACCGUUGUCGGUGCCGUAGGGAAGCCGUGAAGCGAGCCACCUGGGAAGUACGGUCGCAAGGCUGAAACUUAAAGGAAUUGGCGGGGGAGCACCACAACAGGUGGAGCCUGCGGUUUAAUUGGAUUCAACGCCGGACAUCUCACCGGAUAAGACAGCUGAAUGAUUGUCAAUCUGAAGGUUUUACAUGACUAGCUG